CCUACGGGGGGCUGCAGUGGGGAAUAUUGGACAAUGGGCGAAAGCCUGAUCCAGCCAUGCCGCGUGUGUGAAGAAGGCCUUCGGGUUGUAAAGUACUUUCAGUGGGGAAGGAAGCCUUGGGGCUAAUACCCUCGAGGAAGGACAUCACCCACAGAAGAAGCACCGGCUAACUCCGUGCCAGCAGCCGCGGUAAUACGGAGGGUGCGAGCGUUAAUCGGAAUUACUGGGCGUAAAGCGCGCGUAGGCGGUCUGAUAAGCCGGUUGUGAAAGCCCCGGGCUCAACCUGGGAACGGCAUCCGGAACUGUCAGGCUAGAGUGCAGGAGAGGAAGGUAGAAUUCCCGGUGUAGCGGUGAAAUGCGUAGAGAUCGGGAGGAAUACCAGUGGCGAAGGCGGCCUUCUGGACUGACACUGACGCUGAGGUGCGAAAGCGUGGGUAGCAAACAGGAUUAGAUACCCCAGUAGUC
This 465-nucleotide ribosomal RNA is filed under the name Vreelandella stevensii. RNAcentral describes it as "partial 16S ribosomal RNA". It matches the Rfam family "Bacterial small subunit ribosomal RNA", at positions 338 to 795 of the family's 1533-position model. The record is from RNAcentral. Lineage: Bacteria; Pseudomonadati; Pseudomonadota; Gammaproteobacteria; Oceanospirillales; Halomonadaceae.